This 423-nucleotide ribosomal RNA is filed under the name uncultured archaeon. Its description in RNAcentral is "partial 16S ribosomal RNA". It matches the Rfam family "Archaeal small subunit ribosomal RNA", at positions 322 to 746 of the family's 1478-position model. The record is from RNAcentral.
CCUACGGGGCGCAGCAGGCGAGAAAACUUUGCAAUGUGCGAAAGCACGACAAGGUUAAUCCGAGUGGUUUCUGCUAAAGAAACCUUUUGUUAGUCCUAGAAACACUGAUGAAUAAGGGGUGGGCAAGUUCUGGUGUCAGCCGCCGCGGUAAAACCAGCACCUCAAGUGGUCAGGAUGAUUAUUGGGCCUAAAGCAUCCGUAGCCGGCUAUGUAAGUUUUCGGUUAAAUCUGUGCGCUUAACGUACAGGCUGCCGGGAAUACUGCAUAGCUAGGAAGUGGGAGAGGUAGACGGUACUCGGUAGGAAGGGGUAAAAUCCUUUGAUCUAUUGAUGACCACCUGUGGCGAAGGCGGUCUACCAGAACACGUUCGACGGUGAGGGAUGAAAGCUGGGGGAGCAAACCGGAUUAGAUACCCGAGUAGUC